RNAcentral lists this long non-coding RNA (658 nucleotides) under Capra hircus (goat). RNAcentral's name for it is "lncRNA (ENSCHIG00000006131.1)". Lineage: Eukaryota; Metazoa; Chordata; Mammalia; Artiodactyla; Bovidae. The record is from RNAcentral.
CCUAGACACCGUGGAAUGGAGAGAAUUCUGAGAGAUGGUGGCAAAAUCCAGAACCAUAUUUUCUGGUAACCAUUCAUUAACAUCAAAUAAAAUUAAGAAUUAAGUUCCUCAGUUGCACUAGCCACAUGCCAAGGGUUCAAUAACUACGUGUGGCUUCUGGCUACCAUAUUGGUCAACACAGACUUAUAGAGCUUUUCUAUUCUUACAGAAAGUUCUAUUAAAGAGAGCUAUUCUGGACAGAGGAAAAAAAUCAAUAGCUGGUCUAUGGAGAUGAGAUAGAUGGGGGAGACAAGGAAGUCAUCACCAGCAAGAGGACCAAUAUCCAAAAUGUGAGGAGUGAAGUCCAAAAAGGGUAUCUUCUGGACCCAAGGAUCAAAUCCACAACUCUUGUAUCUCCUGCACUGGUGGGCAGAUUCUUUUACCACUGUGCCACCUGGGAAACUGUAUAGAAGGAGUAAAACCAUCCAGUUUGGUGGAAGAAUGCCCAAGAAUUGAAUGGGAUAAUUUACUUACAAUGAGAUUAUACAUACAUGGUUACAUGCCGACCAUGAUGGUGCCUGUGAUUAGGUGAGCCAGUUUUUGUUUUCUUUUAACUUUCAUGACAAGGGAAAAGAGUUUGCUACACCUUCAUUUUAAAUAAAUGCUUGUUUAUUUCCUG